UCCACUCUUCUACUAACCAAAAUAAAAGUUUUUUUAACUAAGAUGUUCGUUCAACGUAAUAUAAGUUCUGGUUGUAAAGAAAACCAUUGUUAUCAAUUAAUUAGUAAAGUUGCUGACGUAAAAUAUUAUUAAAAUUAGAAUCAUUAAAUGCAGUUUUGAAAUAUUAUAUUAAAAUGAAGAACAGAUCAACACGUCAUAAAUGGAAAGAUAUAUUUCAGUUUGCAAAAGGGAAGAAAACGACGAGGAAGUGGAAAUGUAUUUUUAUGAAGCGACACAAAAAUGGAAUCUCAUGAAAUUAACAUAUGACUAUUGUAGUUCUAAAAUAUAAAUGAGAAAAAUUAUUAGAAUUUAGUAAUCGCUCGAUAAGGAACAAUACAUCAUCGAACGUUCCUAAAAUAUAUAUAGUUAAAAAUUAAAUGAGACAACAAAUUAUCCAGGAAAACUCGGAAUUAUCUGCAAAUGAAAAUAAGCUUAUCUCUAAAAACAGUGAAAAAGAAAACGAAGAUGGUAAUGACGAUAAUUAAAACGUGAUGAUGAAAAUAAUACUUUAGUUGAGCAAGACGAAAAAGAAAGAAUGGAAUGAUAUGAAAUUAAAUAAUGAAAAUAUUUUAUAUAUUUAGAAGAUAAAGCUGAAACGACAGAUGCACAUUUGUUUGUCAUACGAAAACAUAUUGAAUUUUCGUAUAUUUAUUAAUAUGUUAUUUUCAUGAUAUAGACCAAACUAUAAUUCGGUAGAUAUGCAACAUUGGAGAAUUAUGGUUAUGCUAAUCUGAUUGAUACUUUCAAGAUUUUAACUUGGAUUGUAAUCGAGCGACUACAAAUAGAUUUUCAUUCAUAAAAUUCAUAAUAUUAAUGAAUAUAUUUGUCAAAAAUUUAAUUUUCUUCGCAUAGAUCUCGAAGAAACGUCCACGAUUAUAGAAUCAUCUACUUUUGGAUAAAUUGACAAAGGAGGUAACUUCUGUGACAAAGAAAUAAAUGCGUAAGGAAGAAAAUACGAAAUUCUAUAGUAUGAGACAACAAAACUGUAACAAGAAAAGAUAUAUAAGUUGCAGAUAAUGUAUCGUAAUUAGUUCUGCUACAAAUUUGUGGGAGAAUUGAAAUUAUCAAUAAUGGAAGAAACCUAAAAUUAUGCAACAAAGGAAGAAAGUAAACAAGAAAAAAAACGCUUAGUAAACAUCUUCAGUUAUAUGCACCUGCACCUCUGCUGACAAGCUUUUCCAAAUUAUAAUAAAUACAUGGUACUGAUGUAAUAUUGCCGCAUCUUGAUAUAUCUCACACUUUUCCUCUGUGUAUCCACUGCUCAAUUUCUUAUUUUAAAGGAAUAGUAUUUUAUCGCUGAAGAAGAAGAAGAAGGAAAAGCAGUCAGUUUUAAUUCAGUUGUCAGCAAUCUUAAUUAGAGAAUGUCUGAAAUGAAACUUUCUAAUCGGUUCAUAACCCUGUAAAUCUAUUAAUAUAUACAUAUUUGUGUCAUAUUUAAUCAGUUUUUACUCCUUAAAUUAUAUUAAUUUCUAACGAUUGACCUACACUAUUUCUUACAAAUAUGUAGGAAGAGAAAUAAACUUUGAGAAUAUUGGAUUGUCAGAAAAAAAGCGUAAAUAAUUUUUUAUUUCAAACCUACAGGUAAUAUCUUUUAUUUUAUAGUAUUUCAUACUAAUUACAUUCGAAUUGUAUUUUUUCUGUGCAUAUAUAUUUCGAUGUAAGUUAUUUCAA
This is a long non-coding RNA of Vespa mandarinia (Asian giant hornet), 1710 nucleotides long. RefSeq lists it as uncharacterized. The record is from RefSeq and is a predicted model, not a curated record. Lineage: Eukaryota; Metazoa; Arthropoda; Insecta; Hymenoptera; Vespidae.